This is a non-coding RNA of Mycena galopus ATCC 62051, 99 nucleotides long. Lineage: Eukaryota; Fungi; Basidiomycota; Agaricomycetes; Agaricales; Mycenaceae. The record is from the annotation of a GenBank genome assembly.
GGCUCAGUUGCGGAUGGUACGCGUCUGUCGUUAAUGUCUCUUAUGGAGCCAAGUAUCAUGUAAACAUCGAAAUCGCCUGUUCGACUCAGGCCCGAGCCG